UACGAAGGAUGCAAGCGUUAUCCGGAUUUAUUGGGUUUAAAGGGUGCGUAGGCGGGCUCGCAGGUCAGGGGUGAAAGCCCACGGCUCAACCGUGGAAGUGCCUUUGAUACCGUGAGUCUCGAGGGAGGUAGGGGCGUGCGGAACUUCCGGUGGAGCGGUGAAAUGCGUAGAUAUCGGAAGGAACAUCGGUGGCGAAAGCGGCGCGCUGGACCUCUUCUGACGCUGAGGCGCGAAAGCCAGGGGAGCAAACGGG
This 253-nucleotide ribosomal RNA is filed under the name uncultured bacterium. RNAcentral's name for it is "partial 16S ribosomal RNA". It matches the Rfam family "Bacterial small subunit ribosomal RNA", at positions 524 to 776 of the family's 1533-position model. The record is from RNAcentral.